AUGAGACAGAAAGAACCAGUUGUGGUGAUGAGCAAGUGGUGCCAGACUUUGCUAUCUAGCAAGAAAAGCUUGGGGCUUGUCUUCAUCCUAGAGCCCUAUGGAAGCUGUGCCUGGCUGGAUGAUGCUGGUGUUUCAGAGGUCACUGGUGGCAGCUCGGGGGGGACAGAGCUUGCAAUAAAAUACAGGGAUGCCCCACGAAUCGCUCCCUCUAGUACAGCCAGAUUCCACAAUCCUCCACUGAAACCUGUGUGCAGCAGCUUGAUUUUUGCACCUGCCCGGCACAGGAGGGUGUACCUGAUUUUCCUGUUACGUGCAAACAUCUGCUUCAGCUGUAAACUCUUCUGACAUCUCUGACAGAUAUAAUUAUAGUGCUCUGGGGGACUUCUGGCCUUGCCAGAAAUAGAUGGAAACAGGGAGAUGUGCAUUUAACAGGCAAAACUGGGAAGGUGCUGGGGAGAAUGGUGUCUGUGUUGUGUGACAGCACCAUGAAGGAGCCUGCUUCAUCUCCAGGCCUUCGUUCUGCUUUGCUUCCCAUGAUUAAAUCUCUGUCUCCCCAGAAAUCUUCCAAUAUCGAGGCAUAUUAGUGGAUGGAAGUCCUUGCACGCACAGUUAUUUGUUUGUGUGACAGCUUUGUUUGUGUAGAGGGUUAGGAAUGCAGCCUGCAUCGGGUGACGCAGUGUGACACCUGAGCAAGGUCCCAGCCAAAAGGUAAUGCGUUGUGCACAGCAGCACUGUGCAGAGCUGAGGCUGGGCACAGGUUCUGCUGUUCACUCAUUGGAUGGAUAUCAUUGCCUGCUCUUCUGUUUUGGUUUGCUGUACCCCUGGAUUACACAGCUGCCAGUCAGCAGCAAGUGAAGCUUAGAGAUACCCGCAGCCAGUUUUACAUCGCACUUCUUCCCUUGCUCAACACUGAAUCUUUGUUAAGUAAUUGCAGUGUCACCUGCGGGCAGCAGUUAAAUCACAGCGAUCGUCUUCCAAAAUCAAGUGUGACUGAUAUCGUGAUGAUGUGCGCGUGGCAAUCACCCUGCACACACCGUAUCUGCAGGAGUCCUCCUUAUCAGAAACUGGUACCUGAAUUUGGGGUGGAAUUUAUCUCACUCAGCUGUGGGUGUUGAAGGAUCUCCCCUCCUACGGAGACAAAUGCCAUUCCUCAGUGACUCCUCCUCACCUGAGGUCGGGUUGAUGAACUGUCCUCUUGAUGAGGCCCGGACCUCUCCACUGACCAUUACGGAAAUCUGAACAAACAGUUUUC
RNAcentral lists this long non-coding RNA (1252 nucleotides) under Numida meleagris (helmeted guineafowl). RNAcentral describes it as "lncRNA (ENSNMEG00000014336.1)". The record is from RNAcentral. Lineage: Eukaryota; Metazoa; Chordata; Aves; Galliformes; Numididae.